Pleuronectes platessa (European plaice) is the source of this 2280-nucleotide long non-coding RNA. RefSeq lists it as uncharacterized. The transcript has 4 exons. The record is from RefSeq and is a predicted model, not a curated record. Lineage: Eukaryota; Metazoa; Chordata; Actinopteri; Pleuronectiformes; Pleuronectidae.
AGAGUUUACAAUUUUAGAGAGUAAUCUGGUUUGCCUGAACUCCUUGUUGAACUAUCUCUCUACUAAUUCCAGAAACCUCUGUCUGUCGGUCGUUGUCAUAUCUCGAGAACAGUUCAUCUUAUCGGCUUCACACUUGUUAAUUGUGUUUAUUAAGUGCAGUGUGUAAUUUGUGUUGAAACUUAAGUGACGUUGUUGAUCACAGCAACAUUUGUUUCUUCAGUUGGGGUUUUUACUCGCCUCGACUCAAUGGUACAGUUUCAGGAGGGGGAAACGGGAACAGUCAUGAGCACACGUCAAGCAAACAACAGGCGUGUUUAGAACGUGCAGUCGUGCACUGCACUAGUUCACAUCAAGUUUCUGAUGUGCAACACUGACAGGCUUUUGGCAAACUAACUUUCUUCAAUGAUUUACUUCACUUGAGCGAUGUUCCAAUCAAAAGGUGGAUUAGUCUUUUCGACUGAAAUGAGUAUGCUGCUCAGCUGGAAUACAAUUGGAUUCAAUCCAUCUCCCAAGGACACGAACCUCUGAAACAACAAUGACCUAAAAUCCACAUUUGCCAAGAUGCAGGGUCCAAAGCAGCGACCUCUUCUUCAAAUGCAGCAUCACUCAGGCGGUCGUCAUCUAUGAUAUCAUUCGUCAACUCCAGAGGAAGAGGAGGGUUUUCUUUACCAGCCUCAGACUCUGUCUCUGACUGAGAAUCGUCAUUUUCUCCUUGGGUUGAGGACUCAGCCACAUCAGGCAUCUCAGAAAGAGGGUGGCUGCUCUCGCUCGGCUCUAUAGCAGCGUGCGCUUUGCCCUCACUCCAUCCUACAUCUCCUGCAACCGGCAUAAUGAGGCCGCCCUGCGAGCGCUGAGCCCUUCGACUGAUGUGCUCCAGCAGGUCUGAGGCCUGCUCACCUUCCUCCCCCUCCUCUUGCUCAUCUUCAACCACAGACUUGACUUCCUCAAAUUGAGAAUUGGCUGCAGGUUCUUCUUGGUCACUUUGAUAUUCCUCUUCAUCACCCGCUGCCUCCGACUGAGACCCAGCUUCAACAGCCUCCUCAGACUGAGAAUCAAUGGCCCCUUCCUCUUCCUCUGUUUGAGAGUCAGGUAUAACCUCCUCUUCCUCAGACAUAGCUGCAACAUCCUCUUCAGGCUGAGAAUCCACUACAUCUUCUUCCUCAGUUUGAGACUCAGGUGCAACCUCCUCUUCCUCUUCCUCAGACAUGGCUGCAACAUCCCCUUCAGGCUGAGAAUCCACUACAUCUUCUUCCUCAGUUUGAGACUCAGGUGCAACCUCCUCUUCCUCUACCUCAGACAUGGCUGCAACAUCCCUUUCAGGCUGAGAAUCCACUACAUCUUCUUCCUCAGUUUGAGACUCAGGUGCAACCUCCUCUUCCUCUUCCUCAGACAUGGCUGCAACAUCCCCUUCAGGCUGAGAAUCCACUACAUCUUCUUCCUCAGUUUGAGACUCAGAGUAUUGGCCAUCAGAUGAAUUCUUCAUCUCCACCUCUUCAACUGUACCCACAUCUUUCUCUGACUGAUCCUCAGAAACACCUUCUUCACUCUGAAGUUCAGCUGCACUCCCUCCCUCGGUUGGCUCCAUGUCUCUCGUCUCUCCUUUGUCCUGUGUUGCAACGAUGGACGAGCUGGAUGUGAUGGAAUUAGGUUCUGUGUAGAGGGCGGUGUUACAGUGGACGAUAUCUGUUGAGAUAUCAGGUUCACUGACAACACUUAGGCCCAGGUUGAAGCCCUCAGAGUAGGUGGUCAUAUCCGGAUCCUGUGGUUGGUCUAGGCGAUAAAAGAAAAUCAAUAACUGUUGACACAUACAUUUUAUCACUAACUAAUAAAUGAAUAAUCAGUGCUCUCUUCAACUUGUUAUACAUACAAUAUGAAAUGGGGGGAAAAAUAGAACAUUUGCUAGGUUAAGAAAAGCUAUUUAAUCACCAUGAUCGCCUCCCAUAUGCCAUUUAUUUACACCAGCACCGAAUUCUUCUUCUGUGAUUUGUCUACGGCUGGCCACUCUCCUCUGCAGACCCCUUCUCUCAGACCGCAUGUCCACAAAGGGGGUUUUCAAACCCAAAGAAGUGGAGCUUCAAACAGAGCAAAGAGACAAUACAGUCAAUUAGAUACUCACUGUUAACAGGAAUACCUAAUUACCAGAAGUCAACUUUCUAUAUGUGAAAUGUUACCUUGUUAAGGAAAGUGAUGAAUGAUCACAUAUCGAGGCUUCACUUUCUUCUCCAACAUCUGUAAACAUAAGGAUCUGUCAGCUAAUCAAUAAAACAGUUUUCUGAUGCA